GCUCGCCUGUAAUCAUUGAUUUUUCGAGAUUGAUUAACAUUCCGUGUUCCCAUCUUUACGCAAAUCAUGAACUUAGACUUUUUUUAUCACAAAUGCAAAUCAAUCAUAAGAUCGUUACCAUUUUUGCGGACCGAAUGAAGGCUAUAUAAACCGAAGCCUUCAUCAUCAUCUCGACACAACCACCCAUUUACACCCUCUCCUUUCCUGCUAACUCACAACGUUCAAUAACUGCCAAACUUGCCGAAUAAUGAGCUCGCCGGAGAAAUCCCGAAGUGUCCGCUUGAAACUCGUCGGAGUCAUAACACCUCGCCGGUGUUUACGAUGAUCGUUUCCCGUUCGAUAUUUUGGAUUUUCUUCCAUCUUUACUCGUGCGAUAAUUGAAGGAAUUCUCAUACGCAACCAAU
Molecule: long non-coding RNA, 404 nt
Filed under: Helianthus annuus (common sunflower)
Lineage: Eukaryota; Viridiplantae; Streptophyta; Magnoliopsida; Asterales; Asteraceae
Source: RNAcentral